CCUACGGGUGGCUGCAGUGGGGAAUAUUGGACAAUGGGGGGAACCCUGAUCCAGCCAUACCGCGUGUGUGAAGAAGGCCCUCGGGUUGUAAAGCACUUUCAGUGAGGAAGAACGCCUGGUGGUUAAUACCCAUCAGGAAAGACAUCACUCACAGAAGAAGCACCGGCUAACUCCGUGCCAGCAGCCGCGGUAAUACGGAGGGUGCGAGCGUUAAUCGGAAUUACUGGGCGUAAAGCGCGCGUAGGUGGCUUGAUAAGCCGGUUGUGAAAGCCCCGGGCUCAACCUGGGAACGGCAUCCGGAACUGUCAAGCUAGAGUGCAGGAGAGGAAGGUAGAAUUCCCGGUGUAGCGGUGAAAUGCGUAGAGAUCGGGAGGAAUACCAGUGGCGAAGGCGGCCUUCUGGACUGACACUGACACUGAGGUGCGAAAGCGUGGGUAGCAAACAGGAUUAGAUACCCUUGUAGUC
This 465-nucleotide ribosomal RNA is filed under the name Vreelandella stevensii. RNAcentral's name for it is "partial 16S ribosomal RNA". It matches the Rfam family "Bacterial small subunit ribosomal RNA", at positions 338 to 795 of the family's 1533-position model. The record is from RNAcentral. Lineage: Bacteria; Pseudomonadati; Pseudomonadota; Gammaproteobacteria; Oceanospirillales; Halomonadaceae.